CUUCAAAAAUUUGAGGGUGCUCAGAGUACAGCUCGGUAAUACAGCACCAGAGCGCAAAGUUCUGACUUCAAUCACAGCAGCAAAUAAUACCGAUGAUGGUGAGGGUGAUAGUAAUAGUAACAAAAUGAAAUAGGUUCGGGGACAUUUGUGAAAGCCAAAUAUAAUUACUUAACAUUUGCUAAUGGUCUUUGUCAUCAUUGGCAGCUAAAGAAACCACAAAUUUUAUUUUUUAAGCAAGAGCUAAAUAGUAAUUUAAUUUGUUGAUUAUACAUUCUCUUUCCAUUAGUUGACUCGUGUCCUAUUCUUAGGAAUUCUCCACACGUUUAACUGGCGGCCUCGCACGCUAAUGUCUAGUGUCUGGUGGCUCAUCACUGUACUGGGAAAAAAGGCAAAAUCAUUUCAAGAGCCAAGAAAGAACAAACAGAAGCCUGGAAAACUGCACAGCGCCUACAGGAUGUCCUGUUACAUUAUCUGCCCAGACAGACCCGUGACUCACGACAGAAUUUGACACAUCGGAAAUGGUUUUAUUGUGCAGGGCUCUUCUCUCCUCAUACAUACUGAACACAUAGAUCUGAGGAUAAUGGGUUACAUCUGUCCUAAUGUGAAACUUUCUGAUAGGAUUCUUUUUAAAGUGAAAGAAACUCUGGCUAUGUAGAAGAUGACAACUGAGAAAGGAUCAGGAGCCUCCAGUCGAGCCUGGUCCCAGAGCCCUAGCAUGCCUUCUCCAGUACAGAACAGCAAGUGUUGUGAGGGAGACACCACUUGACUGAAUCUCAGCACUCUGCCUUAUCACGCAAAGGUGGGCUAGCACCUGCUCCACCGAAAGACUUCUGCCCUUCACCCACGGGAAA
This 851-nucleotide long non-coding RNA is filed under the name Chinchilla lanigera (long-tailed chinchilla). RNAcentral's name for it is "lncRNA (ENSCLAG00000028771.1)". Lineage: Eukaryota; Metazoa; Chordata; Mammalia; Rodentia; Chinchillidae. The record is from RNAcentral.